AUACGUAGGUGGCAAGCGUUGUCCGGAAUUAUUGGGCGUAAAGCGCGCGCAGGUGGUUCCUUAAGUCUGAUGUGAAAGCCCCCGGCUCAACCGGGGAGGGUCAUUGGAAACUGGGGAACUUGAGUGCGGAAGAGGAUAGUGGAAUUCCAAGUGUAGCGGUGAAAUGCGUAGAGAUUUGGAGGAACACCAGUGGCGAAGGCGACUGUCUGGUCUGUAACUGACACUGAGGCGCGAAAGCGUGGGGAGCAAACAGGAUUAGAUGCCCUGGUAGUCCGCGCCGUAAACGAUGAGUGCUAAGUGUUGGGGGGUUUCCGCCCCUCAGUGCUGCAGCUAACGCAUUAAGCACUCCGCCUGGGGAGUACGGUCGCAAGACUGAAACUCAAAGGAAUUGACGGGG
This 397-nucleotide ribosomal RNA is filed under the name uncultured bacterium. RNAcentral's name for it is "partial 16S ribosomal RNA". It matches the Rfam family "Bacterial small subunit ribosomal RNA", at positions 523 to 918 of the family's 1533-position model. The record is from RNAcentral.